Molecule: long non-coding RNA, 2012 nt
Organism: Oreochromis aureus
Lineage: Eukaryota; Metazoa; Chordata; Actinopteri; Cichliformes; Cichlidae
Source: Ensembl
GCUGUCUUUAUUAGAGCCUUGUCUGGCAGUAAUACUGAAAAAAAGUGAACUUAGAACAGAUGGUGGUGGCAGCCCACGGCUUUUUUUCCCCUGUUUUUCUUUAUUUCUUUGAUAUUUUUCUUCUUUUUUUGUGCGAGCGCUGUGACUCUUGCUUUUUCUGUGGCAUGGAUAACAUCAAUAAAAGAGACAGUAGGGAGAGGAAGAAAAAAAAGAAAUAUACAACUUAUAUUACACUGUGUUAUGAACAAAAUAUAAAUCUAUAACUCUAUGUUAUAUUUACAUAAUUAUCUUUCUUGAAUUUUCAAGUUGAGAUGGUAAGAUAUUUUUUUGUUUACUAGUAAUAAUUCUUACUUUGUUUUGAGCUCCACUCAUGACUUUGAUUGUCUUAAAUAAUAUCAUCAUCAUCAUUUUCAUUGUCUUGAUAUGGGGACGGACCUUGCCAGCAGGGAUGACUGAUCUCUUAAUGCCCCACCCAAACACCCACCAUCCUGAUAAUGUUUAAAAAAAUGGACUUAUUCAUUUAGUCCCCUCUUUCCAGCAUGGGGUUCAACAAAGGUGUGAUAACAGGGGUGACUAUACAGCGAAAUUAAGACCCAGAAGCUUGUUAUGUGGCAUGUAGGAAACAUCUAUAAGCGAGAAUGUGACAUAUAACAGCACACCUGAAGAGCAGUCAUGGCUCCUGUAGCAUCGUGUGGAGCUCAAACAAAGCAAAGGGCUCCUGAUGAAGAUACUGCAGACCCACACGCGCACACAGUGGAACAGCCUUGGUGGAUCGCAGUAAACACUGCUUUCUCAUGAUUAAAAAAAAGUCACUGCUAUCACAAAAAACAAAAACAACAACAACAAAAAAAACCGUCUAUAUACAGGAUUUUUUUUUCAAGAAACAAAAAGGACAGCAUAGGAUUUGUUUGGUUGUCAUAAUAAUCUCUUCAUUUGAAAUGUGCCUGUAUGUGGUGUAUCUGCACAUUUGGGAUGUACUGAUAUAUCGGUUGAAUAUACUAUCAGCCAAUACUGACCUCCGUAGACAGGUAUUGGCAAAUAGGUUUUAUUUGGAUUAAUUCUUUAAAAUAUCCAAUAAAAGACUCUAAAACUGGUGUAUUUCUUUAAAAAGAAUUUCAUUGCUUCACUGGUAAAAAAGGGGUGUUAAAUCCCCCCCCCCCAAAAAAAUACAUAUAUAUAUAUAAAUGGCUGAUAUAUCGGCCUAAUAUCGUUAAUGGCUGAUAUUCAAUCCUGCUGAUUUCAGGAUAUUAACAAGACAUCCUUUAUUCUGAAUGUUCAAAAAAUGUGUGAUGAAAAUCUGCAAGACUUUCAAAUAGGUCAGUAUAUUUUUGUACAAAAGAAAGACACUGAAAAAAUAUUGGUAUUGGCUGUCAGCUACAUUAUAAACAUCAGUGUUGGUAUUGGCCCAGAAUUUCAUCGGUGCAUCCUCCAGUGCGUGCACGUGUGUGUGUGUGUGUGUGUGUGUGUGUGUGUGGAUCCAUGCCAAAGAUGUUCCACUGUGUCGCAGUGAGGCAGCCAAACUAGUAAACGGGGACGGGUCUCUGUUCACAGAAAAAGUGACAAACCAAAAACAUGUAAAAAUUUAAAAAAAAAAGAAGAAGAGGAAAUUCACAUUAUACAUUAUGAUAAUCAUUACAAAUAAAAUUAUAAUAACAAUAUAAAAUCAUGUUCUUCUUCUCUGACUGCACAGAGUCUGAGUGCUUCUUAGAAAUGGGUUCGGACAUGAUAAAAAGGGUUACGUCUUCAGUUCGGACGAAGGCUGGCGUCCAUGUCUAUCAGUCCAGCUCACCCGCCCGCAGAGGAUUAAUAGGAGGGGAUCAAAAAUAAAAUAACAUAAAAUAAAAUAGCAAAACAAAGCAAGGUAAAAUGACAACUUUUUGUUUAGAUCUAAAUACCUACCAGCUAAAUAGAAUAAUGCUUCAUUGACUGUUUCAUAUGGUCAUAAAAACCCAAUAAAGAGGAGAAAAAUAAAUUAUACUGUACAUAACUUACUAAACUUAGGAAACGUUGAC